UUCCGCUUUGGCGGUACAUAUACUAAAAUUGGAACGAUACAGAGAAGAUUAGCGUGGCGGCUGCGCAAGGAUGAUACACAAAAUCGUGAGGCGUCCCACAUUUUU
Schistocerca serialis cubense is the source of this 105-nucleotide small nuclear RNA. The record is from RefSeq and is a predicted model, not a curated record. NCBI's taxonomy places the organism in Eukaryota, Metazoa, Arthropoda, Insecta, Orthoptera, Acrididae.